Herpailurus yagouaroundi (jaguarundi) is the source of this 1330-nucleotide long non-coding RNA. RefSeq lists it as uncharacterized. The transcript has 2 exons. The record is from RefSeq and is a predicted model, not a curated record. Lineage: Eukaryota; Metazoa; Chordata; Mammalia; Carnivora; Felidae.
UCUCACAGUUGUAGAGGCUGGAAGUCUGAGAUCAAGGUGUCAGCACGGUUGGUUUCUCCCAAGGUCUCUCUCCUUGGACAAAAGAUGGUCGCCUUCUCCUGUGUCCUCCCACGGACUUCCCUCUGUGCAUGUCUGUGUCCUGAUCUCCUCUUCUUGAAAAGACACCUGUCACAUCAGAUGAGGGCCCACACAUCUGCCUUCGCUUUCACUUAAAUACGUCUUUGAAGACCGUAUCUCCAAAUACGGUCACACUCUGAGGAUCAUCAGUUCCACAUGAAGCCAAAAGGUCCACUUUUUUUUUCUUUUUUUCUUUACAUCUCAACUGGCUUCGAAUGCAGACAGACUUCUCCUUUACUUAUUUCCAUCUUAGUUUUUUUACAAACUAGUAUCCGUGAGCGUGCAUUUUAUGCUACGUAACACAAGGGCAUGAUUUGACCGUAGUUUCUUUUUGCCAUGGGGGGUUGGCACAAAGCUUCUCUCUGCAUCAGGUUCUGCUGCACCAGCUCAGCGAGGAGGAGUGUGCAGUGCCCGGGCUCAGGCCGCAGAGCUGGGCUGUUUGGGGCAAGACUCCCGAUCUUGCUGGCAUGCCCUCUCCUCUGCCGUGAAAUGGAAGAAUUGCCCCCGUCAGGGCGCCUAGUGCCUGGAGAACGCUCAACAAUAAACAACUUCGUGCCGAAUACUUGUGGGAAUCAGAGAGAGAGAGAGAGAGAGUGGCCAAAAGCCCCCGCAACGGUACCCGCCAGCCAGAGAGAAGAAUCGAGAAAAGGGGCAGUAGAGAAAGAGCGAUAGAUGGCAGGCUUUAUCAUUUCUGGCGAUGGGCCUUGGUGAUAGGGUUAAGGAAUUGGUGCAGAAGAGCGGAAGUCAAAAAUUAGGGGAACUGCGACCCGUUUUCUGUAGAUAAACCGUAUCUUUAUAUGAAGAAGGUAGAUUACACAGAGCAUCACGCUUUUCCUUUGGUUCCAUUGCGCACCCCGGACGGGCAUCCCGUCCUCAGACCCGGCUCUGCGUCCCCCUAAAUCCCGGGGAGUCGUGCCUCCCUGGCCACCGCAGUAAGAAGCGGUCUGGGGGACACACUCCCCCAGGGUGGCCAGCGGGCACCUUCCCGUGUGCAUGAAAGUUCGCUGAACUCGCCCCCCUCCCCCCACCCCCGGCCUUGUUCUCUUCCCUUCCAUCAGCAGCUCAGAGCUGAGCUGUCCACUAAGCUCUCCUCCACGCCGCCCAAGGGCACUCGUCCCCGGACUCUGAAUUAGACACGGCAGAAAAGAGUCUGAAAGGUCAAAUGCAGAGUAGUUCCUCUUUCGGUAUCAAAAUAAAGCAUUCCUUGCAUUUC